This 592-nucleotide long non-coding RNA is filed under the name Malus domestica (apple). Its description in RNAcentral is "long non-coding RNA (MDOM_LNC011594)". Lineage: Eukaryota; Viridiplantae; Streptophyta; Magnoliopsida; Rosales; Rosaceae. The record is from RNAcentral.
AAACUUUCCAAGUUGAAGAAGUUGUUGGGAAUGAUAACGUGUGCACAUUGUGUGAGGAGUUUGCUGACCAGGCACUCGAUUACCUUAAUGAAAACAAGACCCAGACGGAGAUCAUUGAAUACCUACAUCAGACCUGCCAUCAGUUGCGCUCAUUCAACCAGCAGGUAGUCACCUUUACGAACUUUCUAAUUUUGACAUAAGUUUUGUUGGAAACUCGUACACUGAAGGCUGCUCUGCGUGGACAGUUGAACAUGUUAUUGCAAAUUUACAAGAAGUUUAUUGAGUAUUAAUACACUAUGAAAUAUAUUGCUCUGAGAAGCUUUGUAGAGUUAUGAUGAGCUAUGACGCAUUGUAUCUAAACCCUAAACCAAAAUCAUUUGGGGAUGUUUAACACUAUUUUUGUUCUCCCAACUCCCCUACUUUAAGAAAGAACUUCCUUAACGUUUUGUCAUUUUUUUGUGGGACAGUGUGUCACUUUGGUGGACUAUUAUGCUCCUCUCUUCUUCUUAGAGGCCACCUCUCUACAACCUUCUGAGUUCUGUCGGAAGGUCAAUCUCUGUCAGCAAGUGGCUUUGUUUUCUUCACAAUUCAA